UGAGGCAGGAGAAUUGCUUGAACCCAGGAGGUGGAGGUUGCAGCGAGCCGAGAUCGUGCCACUGCACUCCAGCCUGGGUGACAGAGCGAGACCCCAUCUC
Cercocebus atys (sooty mangabey) is the source of this 100-nucleotide microRNA precursor. The record is from Ensembl. NCBI's taxonomy places the organism in Eukaryota, Metazoa, Chordata, Mammalia, Primates, Cercopithecidae.